GUGCUCGCCUCGGCAGCACGCAUACUAAGAUUGGGAGGACACAGAGAAGUUUAGCAUGGCCUCUGCACAGGGACACACAGAGUCGUGAAGCGGUCCAUACUUUU
Erinaceus europaeus (western European hedgehog) is the source of this 104-nucleotide small nuclear RNA. NCBI's taxonomy places the organism in Eukaryota, Metazoa, Chordata, Mammalia, Eulipotyphla, Erinaceidae. The record is from Ensembl.